GGCUCAGGACGAACGCUGGCGGCGUGCUUAACACAUGCAAGUCGAGCGGAAAGGCCUUUCGGGGUACUCGAGCGGCGAACGGGUGAGUAACACGUGAGCAACCUGCCUCUGACUUUGGGAUAACCCUCGGAAACGGGGGCUAAUACCGGAUAUUACUUCGCAGGGCAUCUUGUGGGGUGGAAAGCUUUUGCGGUCAGGGAUGGGCUCGCGGCCUAUCAGCUUGUUGGUGGGGUGAUGGCCUACCAAGGCGGCGACGGGUAGCCGGCCUGAGAGGGCGACCGGCCACACUGGGACUGAGACACGGCCCAGACUCCUACGGGAGGCAGCAGUGGGAAUAUUGCACAAUGGGCGGAAGCCUGAUGCAGCGACGCCGCGUGAGGGAUGACGGCCUUCGGGUUGUAAACCUCUUUCAGCUCCGACGAAGCGCGAGUGACGGUAGGAGCAGAAGAAGCGCCGGCCAACUACGUGCCAGCAGCCGCGGUAAGACGUAGGGCGCAAGCGUUGUCCGGAUUUAUUGGGCGUAAAGAGCUCGUAGGCGGCUUGUUGCGUCGACCGUGAAAACCCGUGGCUCAACUGCGGGCUUGCGGUCGAUACGGGCGGGCUGGAGUUCGGUAGGGGAGACUGGAAUUCCUGGUGUAGCGGUGAAAUGCGCAGAUAUCAGGAGGAACACCGGUGGCGAAGGCGGGUCUCUGGGCCGAUACUGACGCUGAGGAGCGAAAGCGUGGGGAGCGAACAGGAUUAGAUACCCUGGUAGUCCACGCUGUAAACGUUGGGCGCUAGGUGUGGGGGGCCUCUCCGGUUCUCUGCGCCGCAGCUAACGCAUUAAGCGCCCCGCCUGGGGAGUACGGCCCGCAGGCUAAAACUCAAAG
This 869-nucleotide ribosomal RNA is filed under the name uncultured bacterium. Its description in RNAcentral is "bacterial SSU rRNA". It matches the Rfam family "Bacterial small subunit ribosomal RNA", at positions 21 to 906 of the family's 1533-position model. The record is from RNAcentral.